GCCGGUGUGGUGUAGUGGCAACACGCGACCUUCCCAAGGUCGAAUUGCGGGUCCGAUUCCCGUCACCGGCUCCA
RNAcentral lists this transfer RNA (74 nucleotides) under Rhodococcus triatomae. Its description in RNAcentral is "tRNA-Gly". It matches the Rfam family "tRNA". From Rfam's summary of the family: Transfer RNA (tRNA) molecules are approximately 80 nucleotides in length. Their secondary structure includes four short double-helical elements and three loops (D, anti-codon, and T loops). The record is from RNAcentral. Lineage: Bacteria; Bacillati; Actinomycetota; Actinomycetes; Mycobacteriales; Nocardiaceae.